GACGAACCGUCCAAACGUUACUCGGAAUUACUGGGCUUAAAGGGUGCGUAGGCGGCGCAGAAAGUUGGGUGUGAAAUCCCUCGGCUCAACCGGGGAAUUGCAUCCAAAACUACUGUGCUCGAGGGAGACAGAGGUAAGCGGAACUCAAGGUGGAGCGGUGAAAUGCGUUGAUAUCUUGAGGAACACCGGUGGCGAAAGCGGCUUACUGGGUCUCUUCUGACGCUGAGGCACGAAAGCUAAGGUAGCAAACGGG
RNAcentral lists this ribosomal RNA (253 nucleotides) under uncultured bacterium. Its description in RNAcentral is "partial 16S ribosomal RNA". It matches the Rfam family "Bacterial small subunit ribosomal RNA", at positions 524 to 776 of the family's 1533-position model. The record is from RNAcentral.